CCUACGGGAGGCAGCAGUAGGGAAUCUUCCGCAAUGGACGAAAGUCUGACGGAGCAACGCCGCGUGAGUGAUGAAGGUCUUCGGAUCGUAAAACUCUGUUGUUAGGGAAGAAUAAGUAUAAGGCGAAUAACCUUAUACCUUGACGGUACCUAACCAGAAAGCCCCGGCUAACUACGUGCCAGCAGCCGCGGUAAU
This 195-nucleotide ribosomal RNA is filed under the name uncultured bacterium. Its description in RNAcentral is "partial 16S ribosomal RNA". It matches the Rfam family "Bacterial small subunit ribosomal RNA", at positions 338 to 524 of the family's 1533-position model. The record is from RNAcentral.